AAGGUAUUGUAAUAAGAUUUUAAUUGAAUGCUAAAAGAAUGGAAAUUUAAAAAAAAACUUUUUUAAAAAUAAAAAUUGAAUUUUUUUUAAUUUGUGCAAAAACAAUUAUACUUAUUAAAGACAAGAAGACCCUAAGAAUUUAAGAUUUUACAAUUAAAAAGUUUUUUUUUAAAAUCUUGAUUGGGGCGAUCAAAAAAUAUUAAUAACUUUUUAAAAUUUAAAUUGAUCUAUUAUUAAUAAACUAAUGAAUUAAAUACUCUAGGGAUAACAGCGUAAUAAUUUUUGAUAGAUCUUAUUGACAAAAUAGUUUGCGACCUCGAUGUUGGAUUAGGAUUCUUUUUUAAUGAAGAAGUAAAAAAAGAAGUUUGUUCAACUUUUAAAUUCCU
Molecule: ribosomal RNA, 386 nt
Filed under: Hyalomma marginatum
Lineage: Eukaryota; Metazoa; Arthropoda; Arachnida; Ixodida; Ixodidae
Description: partial large subunit ribosomal RNA
Source: RNAcentral